Long non-coding RNA from Nicotiana tabacum (common tobacco), 490 nucleotides. RefSeq lists it as uncharacterized. The record is from RefSeq and is a predicted model, not a curated record. Lineage: Eukaryota; Viridiplantae; Streptophyta; Magnoliopsida; Solanales; Solanaceae.
CCUCCCCCCUCUCUCUCGUAUUUUCCCCCAAAAUGAAACCCUAUUCUCUCUAUGUGUUUUUUAAUCUGAAAGCAUAUGAAGUCCUUAACAAUCAACUCUUUCAAAUUUAUGUCUUAAAGUCUGAAGACUCACGUGAUAUCUAUUUGAACUGGGUGAAGACUCACAAACUAACAAUAACAAUGGUUAUCAAUUUGAACAGAUUGUCUCACUGGAGGAAAUACGGUUCACUGUAUAUUGGUUAAAGAGGGUUUGAAGAGUUGAACUUACAAGUCAAGAUGCAAGUUUUGAAGACUUCAUGCAAUAUUGUUUCACUUGCAAGGGUAGUUAGGAAAGCAGUUAUUUUUGCUAAAAGAUUGUGUAAAGAGCACGGUGACAUAUGGUUCAUGGUUAUACAAUUACCAAUGGGAUGUAAUACGCUUUUUUGUAAUUCAUAACCAAUUUAUACAUGUACAUUUGUAUAUUUGUAUAUGAAAGCAUGAUUUUAUUGAUA